Sipha flava (yellow sugarcane aphid) is the source of this 549-nucleotide long non-coding RNA. RefSeq lists it as uncharacterized. The transcript is spliced from 2 exons. NCBI's taxonomy places the organism in Eukaryota, Metazoa, Arthropoda, Insecta, Hemiptera, Aphididae. The record is from RefSeq and is a predicted model, not a curated record.
UUUAAAAAUAACCCUGUAUAUUUUUGGUUCAAAUCCAAAAUUAUUCAACAAAAUAAAUUGCAUCACAAUUAUUCGUGUUAGUUUUUUUUGUGACAAAAAAUAUGUUCCAUUGAACUAAAUAGCCCAAGGUUCGAGUAUAUAUUCUACCUACUCAUCGUGAAUUACUCAUCACGCCCCUUCCAAAUUCAAAGAUCUUCGACUUCAACUUCGGUUAUUCAAGAUUAUUGACUACCGGAGUUCUGAAACGCUGCACAGACUAUUCAAACGCUAUUUUUUUUAAUAUAUAAACAUAUACCAUACAGAUACAGAAUUAUAACCUCAAGAAAACAUCUUAAAGGGAAUGAUGAAGGGCUAAAAUUUCUCGUGGCUACAGUAUUCACUACACCGAAGUAAUUUUUAAGUUUUAUGGCAAAAUCCAGAUGCUCAUGCUUCACAACCCAUACGAUUACUUGUAGUAAAAAUUAUAAAAUUUUAAAUUUUAUAAGAGCGCAACUCUUCUGUAUGGUACAUACGGAUUUAGGUGCAGCUGAAUAAACAUAAUUCAUAAUA